This is a long non-coding RNA of Cotesia glomerata, 878 nucleotides long. RefSeq lists it as uncharacterized. The transcript is spliced from 2 exons. Lineage: Eukaryota; Metazoa; Arthropoda; Insecta; Hymenoptera; Braconidae. The record is from RefSeq and is a predicted model, not a curated record.
UCGGAUCAUCAGCACGAUUAUCACGAUGCAGGCUUCCGAACAGAAGAGAGUUACGGAGAAGGCCAGGCUGUAAAAAGAAAACAUUUUUUUUAUCAGAAAAUUGAUAAUUUUUUGUGCUUUAUCGCAUGUUCUCGGUGCAGCAGUGUGUGAAGGGCAUGAAGAGUACUCGUUUACUCUGACGCAUCAAAAGGUUGCGUAACGGAAGGGAGACAAGCAAGAUUACGUCGGGAUAGUUGACAUUGCCUCUAGUUCGUCGUUUAGUUAAACACAUCAAGUUUAAUUAAAUUUAUAAUUACAUUAAUGUAGAGUAAGAGUGAAGUAUGUACUUACUUGCCAGGCUCCACCCUAAACUGAUUGCCGUGGUAGGCAUGAUAUAUGGCAGCGAUACUCCACGCGAUACCGAUGCCCAGGAAGACGUUCACUGCGUUGCUGCCGGUCACGUUUCCGACACUAGCGUCUGCAUACUUGUCCUGACAUGCAGCCACCUUGCUGGCAAACGUGUCUGAAAUUUAACGACAAAAUUUCAAGUUUAGUCUCUACUCUUGCUACAAGAACCAUCUCCUGUUUUUAUCGCCCAUCGGCAUCCGAGCAUCCAAGCCAUCGCGUUCCUGCUCGGACGCCAUAAAUUCACGAGCUAAAUUUUUUCUCCAGUCUAGACUUGUAUUGUUACGUAACAUCACAACUAUUUUGUUGAUAGUGUAACUUUGAAUCAACUUGGCCAGUUGAUUCCUCGACAGAAGCAGGGAGAGACAAAGUUUAAAAAAUAAAAGUUUCUAAGCUGAGAUAGCGAUCGGAAUCCUGGAAAUUUCCUGGAUUAUUUGUCAAGAGUUAUUUUGGAAAUGCCUUUAGUAUCAAACUUUGUGUUUUAUUAUUGCUAA